GCGUAAUCAAUUGCCCCCUAAUUAGAGGCACGUAUGAACGGGAAAACGAGAAUAAUACUGUCUCUUUUCUGCCCCUAUAAACUUAUCUUUAGGUGAAAAAGCCUAGAUUAUUAUAAAAGACAAACAGUCCCCGUCGAGCUUUAAUCCCCCGUAGCCUAAUAAUUUACAACCUACUACAAUUUUUGUUGGGGUGACAAAGGAAUAUAAACUUCCUGCACAUAUACGACACCAAGUCAUACCUUAAAAGACCCUCCCACCGACCCUAGGUCCCAGUUACCGCGGGGAUAACAGGCUAAUCUUUCUGCACGAGCCCGCAUCAACCAGGAAGUUUGG
This 333-nucleotide ribosomal RNA is filed under the name Eunicidae environmental sample. RNAcentral's name for it is "partial large subunit ribosomal RNA". It matches the Rfam family "Archaeal large subunit ribosomal RNA", at positions 2036 to 2590 of the family's 2987-position model. The record is from RNAcentral. Lineage: Eukaryota; Metazoa; Annelida; Polychaeta; Eunicida; Eunicidae.